This 420-nucleotide ribosomal RNA is filed under the name uncultured alga. RNAcentral describes it as "bacterial SSU rRNA". It matches the Rfam family "Bacterial small subunit ribosomal RNA", at positions 29 to 456 of the family's 1533-position model. The record is from RNAcentral.
AACNAACGCUGGCGGUAUGCCUAACACAUGCAAGUCGAACGAGAUCAUAUUUUUGUUUACAAGAAUAUGAUUGCAGUGGCCGAACGGGUGAGGAACACGUAAGAACUUACCUUUUGGCGGGGGAUAACAACCGGGAAACUGUUGCUAAUACCCCCAAUAAUGCUGAGGAGCAAAAGGGAACUACCAAAAAGAGAGGCUUGCGUCUGAUUAGCUAGUUGGAGGAGGUAAAUGCUCCCCAAGGCGACGAUCAGUAGCUGGUCUGAGAGGAUGAUCAGCCACACUGGGACUGAGAUACGGCCCAGACUCCUACGGGAGGCAGCAGUGGGGAAUUUUCCACAAUGGGCGAAAGCCUGAUGGAGCAAUACCGCGUGAGGGAUGAAGUAUCGUGUACGUAACCUCUUUCUGACGAAGAGCUCUGCG